Molecule: transfer RNA, 87 nt
Filed under: Clostridia bacterium
Lineage: Bacteria; Bacillati; Bacillota; Clostridia
Description: tRNA-Leu
Rfam family: tRNA
About the family: Transfer RNA (tRNA) molecules are approximately 80 nucleotides in length.
Source: RNAcentral
GUCGGUGUGUUGGAAUUGGCAGACGAGGUGGACUCAAAAUCCAUUGUCAGCGAUGACGUGUGGGUUCAAGUCCCACCACCGGCACCA